AAUGGGCGAAAGCCUGACGCAGCAACGCCGCGUGCGGGAAGAAGGCCCUCGGGUUGUAAACCGCUUUCAGCAGGAACGAAAAUGACGGUACUUGCAGAAGAAGGUGCGGCCAACUACGUGCCAGCAGCCGCGGUGACACGUAGGCACCAAGCGUUGUCCGGAUUUAUUGGGCGUAAAGAGCUCGUAGGCGGUUCGGUAAGUCGGGUGUGAAAACUUUGGGCUUAACCCAAAGCCUGCAUCCGAUACUGCUGUGACUAGAGUUCGGUAGGGGAGCGGGGAAUUCCUAGUGUAGCGGUGAAAUGCGCAGAUAUUAGGAGGAACACCGGUGGCGAAGGCGCCGCUCUGGGCCGAUACUGACGCUGAGGAGCGAAAGCGUGGGUAGCAAA
Molecule: ribosomal RNA, 386 nt
Filed under: uncultured bacterium
Lineage: Bacteria
Description: bacterial SSU rRNA
Rfam family: Bacterial small subunit ribosomal RNA
Source: RNAcentral